AUUGAACGCUGGCGGCAGGCUUAACACAUGCAAGUCGAGCUAGCGGCGGACGGGUGAGUAAUGUCUGGGAAAAUGCCUGAUGGCGGGGGAUAACUACUGGAAACGGUCGCUAAUACCGCAUACCAUCAGAUGUGCCCAGAUGGGAUUAGCGAGUAGGGGGGGUACUGGCUCACCUAGGCGACGAUCCCUAGUUAGUCUGAGAGGAUAACCACCCACACUGGAACUGUGCCGCGGUCCAGACGCCUACGGGAGGCAGCAGUGGGGAAUAUUGCACAAUGGGCGCAAGCCUGAUGCAGCCAUGCCGCGUGUGUGAAGAAGGCCUUCGGGUUGUAAAGCACUUUCAGCGAGGAGGCGUUACUCGCAGAAGAAGCACCGGCUAACUCCGUGCCAGCAGCCGCGGUAAUUC
RNAcentral lists this ribosomal RNA (406 nucleotides) under uncultured bacterium. RNAcentral's name for it is "partial 16S ribosomal RNA". It matches the Rfam family "Bacterial small subunit ribosomal RNA", at positions 30 to 526 of the family's 1533-position model. The record is from RNAcentral.